This 631-nucleotide ribosomal RNA is filed under the name uncultured bacterium. RNAcentral describes it as "bacterial SSU rRNA". The stretch from base 1 to 533 matches the Rfam family "Bacterial small subunit ribosomal RNA", at positions 338 to 873 of the family's 1533-position model. The record is from RNAcentral.
CCUACGGGAGGCAGCAGUGAGGAAUAUUGGACAAUGGGCGCAAGCCUGAUCCAGCCAUGCCGCGUGCAGGAAGAAGCAUCUAUGGUGUGUAAACUGCUUUUGUACAGGAAGAAACACUCCCUCGUGAGGGAGCUUGACGGUACUGUAAGAAUAAGGACCGGCUAACUCCGUGCCAGCAGCCGCGGUAAUACGGAGGGUCCGAGCGUUAUCCGGAAUCAUUGGGUUUAAAGGGUCCGUAGGCGGUUUAAUAAGUCAGUGGUGAAAUCUGGUCGCUCAACGAUCAAACGGCCAUUGAUACUGUUAGACUUGAAUUAUAAGGAAGUAACUAGAAUAUGUAGUGUAGCGGUGAAAUGCUUAGAUAUUACAUGGAAUACCAAUUGCGAAGGCAGGUUACUACUUAUGGAUUGACGCUGAUGGACGAAAGCGUGGGGAGCGAACAGGAUUAGAUACCCUGGUAGUCCACGCCGUAAACGAUGGAUACUAGCUGUUCGGAGCAAUCUGAGUGNGUAGACGAAGUAGAUAAGUAUACCACCGUACGGGUAGGUACGGUUCGCGAAGAAGUAGAAACGUUAAAAGGUAAAGUUAACGGUACGUAGUAGAGAGACGACGACGACGACGACGGAGGAGGAGG